This 492-nucleotide ribosomal RNA is filed under the name uncultured bacterium. Its description in RNAcentral is "partial 16S ribosomal RNA". It matches the Rfam family "Bacterial small subunit ribosomal RNA", at positions 28 to 507 of the family's 1533-position model. The record is from RNAcentral.
GAUGAACGCUAGCUACAGGCUUAACACAUGCAAGUCGAGGGGAAACGACAUCGAAAGCUUGCUUUUGAUGGGCGUCGACCGGCGCACGGGAGAGUAACGCGUAUCCCACCUGCCCAUCACUUGGGGAUAACCUUGCGAAAGUAAGACUAAUACCCAAUGAUAUCUCUAGAAGAAAUCUGAAAGAGAUUAAAGAUUUAUCGGUGCUGGAUGGGGAUGCGUCUGAUUAGCUUGUUGGCGGGGUAACGGCCCACCAAGGCAACGAUCAGUAGGGGUUCUGAGAGGAAGGUCCCCCACAUUGGAACUGAGACCCGGUCCAAACUCCUACGGGAGGCAGCAGUGAGGAAGAUUGGUCAAUGGGCGAGAGCCUGAACCAGCCAAGUAGCGUGCAGGAAGACGGCCCUAUGGGUUGUAAACUGCUUUUAUAAGGGAAUAAAGUGGGAGUCGUGACUCUUUUUGUAUGUACCUUAUGAAUAAGCACCGGCUAAUUCCGUG